This 497-nucleotide ribosomal RNA is filed under the name uncultured bacterium. RNAcentral describes it as "partial 16S ribosomal RNA". It matches the Rfam family "Bacterial small subunit ribosomal RNA", at positions 28 to 507 of the family's 1533-position model. The record is from RNAcentral.
GAUGAACGCUGGCGGCGUGCCUAAUACAUGCAAGUCGAGCGAACGGACGAGAAGCUUGCUUCUCUGAUGUUAGCGGCGGACGGGCGAGUAAGACGUGGAUAACCUACCUAUAAGACUGGGAUAACUUCGGGAAACCGGAGCUACUACCGGAUAAUAUUUUGUACCGCUUGGUUCAAAAGUGAAAGACGGUCUGGCUGUCACUUAUAGAUGGAUCCGCGCUGCAUUAGCUAGUUGGUAAGGUAACGGCUUACCAAGGCAACGAUGCAUAGCCGACCUGAGAGGGUGAUCGGCCACACUGGAACUGAGACACGGUCCAGACUCCUACGGGAGGCAGCAGUGGGGAAUCUUCCGCAAAGGGCGAAAGCCUGACGGAGCAACGCCGCGUGAGUGAUGAAGGUCUUCGGGUCGUAAAACUCUGUUAUUAGGGAAGAACAUAUGUGUAAGUAACUGUGCACAUCUUGACGGUACCUAAACAGAAAGCCACGGCUAACUACGUG